Non-coding RNA from Arabis alpina (gray rockcress), 107 nucleotides. The record is from Rfam. NCBI's taxonomy places the organism in Eukaryota, Viridiplantae, Streptophyta, Magnoliopsida, Brassicales, Brassicaceae.
AACCCAUGAUGAGGGCAAUCCCUCUGAUAGCCCUUGAAUCUCUCCCACAAAGCCUUGAAUGCUUUACUUGGACCCUGAAUGAACGUGGAGAUUUUAGCUCUCAAGUC